GACGAACGCUGGCGGCGUGCCUAAUACAUGCAAGUUGAGCGAUGAAGAUUGGUGCUUGCACCAAUUUGAAGAGCAGCGAACGGGUGAGUAACGCGUGGGGAAUCUGCCUUUGAGCGGGGGACAACAUUUGGAAACGAAUGCUAAUACCGCAUAACAACUUUAAACAUAAGUUUUAAGUUUGAAAGAUGCAAUUGCAUCACUCAAAGAUGAUCCCGCGUUGCAUUAGCUAGUUGGUGAGGUAAAGGCUCACCAAGGCGAUGAUACAUAGCCGACCUGAGAGGGUGAUCGGCCACAAUGGGACUGAGACACGGCCCAAACUCCUACGGGAGGCAGCAGUAGGGAAUCUUCGGCAAUGGACGAAAGUCUGACCGAGCAACGCCGCGUGAGUGAAGAAGGUUUUCGGAUCGUAAAACUCUGUUGGUAGAGAAGAACGUUGGUGAGAGUGGAAAGCUCAUCAAGUGACGGUAACUACCCAGAAAGGGACGGCUAACUACGUG
RNAcentral lists this ribosomal RNA (497 nucleotides) under uncultured bacterium. Its description in RNAcentral is "partial 16S ribosomal RNA". It matches the Rfam family "Bacterial small subunit ribosomal RNA", at positions 28 to 507 of the family's 1533-position model. The record is from RNAcentral.